GUAAAACUUACAACAAGACCUCUGGCUCCAGAAGGUCCAGCAGGUCCAGGAGGUCCAGGAAUACCACGACCUCCAGGAAGACCAGGAGCACCAGCUACACCAGAAGGACCCUGAGGAGACAAAACAAAUCAGCAGGUCCGACUGGGCCAGAGCUACCAUCACUUCCGCGGGCACCCUGUUCAAAGGAGACACAAGUUAGACCUCUAGAGAAGCAAUGUACAGUAUGUUUAAAAGUAUCUCUACAAAAGCUAAAGUGAUUGCCCACAUGAAAGUAUUCUUUGGCCACUAAGUAUCAUUUACAUACUGAGAUGUUUUUAGAAAUCUCGCAAAUUUUUCCGCAAUGAGACUAACUCGGAACAGGGAUAAUUCAAAUGCUUUACAAUUCUUUUCCAAUUAUACUUAAAACCUAAGGUUUAGGUGGAGAUAGCCCUACAAAGUAUGCCCAAGCGCCCAGUGUUGAUCAUGGGA
Hyla sarda is the source of this 468-nucleotide long non-coding RNA. RefSeq lists it as uncharacterized. The record is from RefSeq and is a predicted model, not a curated record. The transcript has 3 exons. NCBI's taxonomy places the organism in Eukaryota, Metazoa, Chordata, Amphibia, Anura, Hylidae.